CGUCCCCUGUGGUGUUCGAGUGAAGGGCCAAGUCAUCAUUGAGCCUAAUCAAGUACCCUAGGGAAUCGGCUCUCGGAGUUGUUGCGCACGUCCGCAUUAUCAGCGGAAAGCCUGAUACUCCGAACCAUUUCCCCUGUUUGAACCCAGUGGUUCAAGGGUCAUAGCCUGGACGGCACCGCCGGGGGGCGU
Molecule: non-coding RNA, 189 nt
Filed under: Gammaproteobacteria bacterium
Lineage: Bacteria; Pseudomonadati; Pseudomonadota; Gammaproteobacteria
Description: 6S RNA
Rfam family: 6S / SsrS RNA
About the family: E. coli 6S RNA was the first non coding RNA to be sequenced, but its function was unknown until recently.
Source: RNAcentral